GAUGAACGCUGGCGGCGUGCCUAAUACAUGCAAGUCGAGCGAACAGACGAGGAGCUUGCUCCUCUGACGUUAGCGGCGGACGGGUGAGUAACACGUGGAUAACCUACCUAUAAGACUGGGAUAACUUCGGGAAACCGGAGCUAAUACCGGAUAAUAUAUUGAACCGCAUGGUUCAAUAGUGAAAGACGGUUUUGCUGUCACUUAUAGAUGGAUCCGCGCCGCAUUAGCUAGUUGGUAAGGUAACGGCUUACCAAGGCAACGAUGCGUAGCCGACCUGAGAGGGUGAUCGGCCACACGGGAACUGAGACACGGUCCAGACUCCUACGGGAGGCAGCAGUAGGGAAUCUUCCGCAAGGGGCGAAAGCCUGACGGAGCAACGCCGCGUGAGUGAUGAAGGUCUUCGGAUCGUAAAACUCUGUUAUUAGGGAAGAACAAAUGUGUAAGUAACUAUGCACGUCUUGACGGUACCUAAUCAGAAAGCCACGGCUAACUACGUG
RNAcentral lists this ribosomal RNA (497 nucleotides) under uncultured bacterium. RNAcentral describes it as "partial 16S ribosomal RNA". It matches the Rfam family "Bacterial small subunit ribosomal RNA", at positions 28 to 507 of the family's 1533-position model. The record is from RNAcentral.